CGGCAAGCCUGAUCCAGCAACGCCGCGUGGAGGACGAAGGUCUUCGGAUCGUAAACUCCUGUCAGGCGGGACGAAGGUUUCCCGGGCGAACAGUCCGGAAGCUUGACGGUACUGCCAGAGGAAGCCCCGGCUAACUCCGUGCCAGCAGCCGCGGUAAUACGGAGGGGGCUAGCGUUAUUCGGAAUUAUUGGGCGUAAAGGGCGCGUAGGCGGCCCGGUAAGUCAAAGGUGAAAUCCCUCGGCUCAACUGAGGAACUGCCUUUGAAACUGUCGGGCUUGAGGCCGGGAGGGGGUAGCGGAAUUCCCAGUGUAGCGGUGAAAUGCGUAGAUAUUGGGAGGAACACCGGUGGCGAAGGCGGCUACCUGGACCGGUUCUGACGCUGAUGCGCGAAAGCGUGGGUAGCAAACAGGAUUAGAUACCCUGGUAGUCCACGCUGUAAACGAUGAGUGCUCGGUGUCGCGGGUAUCGACCCCUGCGGUGCCUUAGCUAACGCGUUAAGCACUCUGCCUGGGGAGUACGGUCGCAAGGCUG
RNAcentral lists this ribosomal RNA (531 nucleotides) under uncultured Acidobacteriota bacterium. Its description in RNAcentral is "bacterial SSU rRNA". It matches the Rfam family "Bacterial small subunit ribosomal RNA", at positions 376 to 896 of the family's 1533-position model. The record is from RNAcentral. Lineage: Bacteria; Pseudomonadati; Acidobacteriota.